This 646-nucleotide ribosomal RNA is filed under the name Salmonella enterica subsp. enterica serovar Infantis. Its description in RNAcentral is "partial 23S ribosomal RNA". It matches the Rfam family "Bacterial large subunit ribosomal RNA", at positions 2180 to 2823 of the family's 2925-position model. Lineage: Bacteria; Pseudomonadati; Pseudomonadota; Gammaproteobacteria; Enterobacterales; Enterobacteriaceae. The record is from RNAcentral.
GUGGAGCCGACCUUGAAAUACCACCCUUUAAUGUUUGAUGUUCUAACGUGGACCCGUAAUCCGGGUUGCGGACAGUGUCUGGUGGGUAGUUUGACUGGGGCGGUCUCCUCCUAAAGAGUAACGGAGGAGCACGAAGGUUGGCUAAUCCUGGUCGGACAUCAGGAGGUUAGUGCAAUGGCAUAAGCCAGCUUGACUGCGAGCGUGACGGCGCGAGCAGGUGCGAAAGCAGGUCAUAGUGAUCCGGUGGUUCUGAAUGGAAGGGCCAUCGCUCAACGGAUAAAAGGUACUCCGGGGAUAACAGGCUGAUACCGCCCAAGAGUUCAUAUCGACGGCGGUGUUUGGCACCUCGAUGUCGGCUCAUCACAUCCUGGGGCUGAAGUAGGUCCCAAGGGUAUGGCUGUUCGCCAUUUAAAGUGGUACGCGAGCUGGGUUUAGAACGUCGUGAGACAGUUCGGUCCCUAUCUGCCGUGGGCGCUGGAGAACUGAGGGGGGCUGCUCCUAGUACGAGAGGACCGGAGUGGACGCAUCACUGGUGUUCGGGUUGUCAUGCCAAUGGCACUGCCCGGUAGCUAAAUGCGGAAGAGAUAAGUGCUGAAAGCAUCUAAGCACGAAACUUGCCCCGAGAUGAGUUCUCCCUGAGACUUAA